This 21061-nucleotide long non-coding RNA is filed under the name Durio zibethinus. RNAcentral describes it as "long non-coding RNA (DZIB_LNC000252)". The record is from RNAcentral. Lineage: Eukaryota; Viridiplantae; Streptophyta; Magnoliopsida; Malvales; Malvaceae.
AGUUAAUGGCAGCAUAAACAAGACUGAUGGAAGUAAACAAAUAUCAAAGCUAGUAAGUUCAGAAGCACCGGUUAAAUACGGUGUUUCACCAGCAAAAGUUGCCCAGGUUGAGCGUCAGACCUCAACAGAAAGUGAGGAAUCUUCUGACUUAUGUGACGAGAAUCAAAUGUCUGCAGAAAGAUGUCGAACUCUUAUAAGAAUUGCAACGCCAAGACGGUCAGCAUCUCCUAUGCGAAGGGUUGAAAUAGGGAGGAGUGGCUCUCGUAGAGUCCCUGCUCUGACCAUAAAGAGCCUUAGUUACUUUCCUGCUAGAGAAAAGAUAUUGUCUCAAAGAGAUGUAGCUUCAGAUGAUAGCGAAGAGGAACGAUCUUAACACAUUAAGAAACCUGAGAAUAAUGUUCGGCGUAUGAGUGUUCAAGAUGCAAUAAAUCUUUUUGAAAGUAAACAAAGGGAUCAGAUUACUGAUGUUCCAAAAAAGAACUCAUUAACAAAUAUCUCUCUUGGUCCUAGUAAGUCUGUAUUGAGAAGAUGGAGUACAGGUAUGGGCGAAUCCUCCUCCAAAUGCCAAUCACAGAAUGCUUCUGAAUAUCCUGUUGCAGAGCCUCCUGAUAAUGUCAUUGAUAGUGAUAUCAUGCAGAGGUCAGCAGAAGUUAAUUUGGAAUCUGCUACUAGGACCGGAGCAGAAAACAUCAAUGAGACUGCUGAUCUGAAGUUAGAAAGGCCGGAAGAGAGCUCAUGUAGUCCGAUAGAUGUUCAAGACGUAACAGAUAUAAUCCAUGAAGAGGAAGCUAACGAGAAGUCAAAAGGAUCAGCUGAAUGGAGUCGACAGAAGGAAGUGGAGUUGAACCAAAUGUUCAAAAAAGUGAUGGAAAAUCAGCCUGAUAGCUGUUGGAAGCCUCAAACGAAAGUCAGACCAAAUCUGCCUCCAGAGCAGAGAGGUGGAUUUUUUUACUAUUACAAGGAGACGAGGGACGAAAAACUUAGAGGAGAGAAUACUGGAAAGCGUGCUGAAAAAGAAGCAAAAUAUAGAGCAAUGCAGAAAAUUCUUGAAGAGAGGAAAGCAGAAAUGGCUUCCACAACCGUGAAUAAUUUUUGUAAAAAGGAUCCUCCGGCAAAAACCCAAAAAUCUGUUAAGAAUUCCCAAAAGUUACUAAAGAAUCCUUCUCAGCCUGCUAAUAAAAGGAAGGAAACCACAAAACCUUCAACUGCAAAGAAGGUUUCAUCUAGAACAUACCCCUUGCCUGCUACUCGUAAGUCAUGGCCUUCAACACCAUCUCCGAGAACAACAGGAACAUCACCAGCUAAAACUUCCGGUGGAAUCUCUUCUGCUGGCACUACACCAACACGGCGGAAUCCUCAGUCAGCACAAUCAGUACCUCGACCAAGUUCUAUAGUGGAAAGUUCCCAGCCACAACGAAGAAAUGUGAAGGCAACCCAGACUGAUAAACGAGGUUUAGUGGGUGUGAAUGAGAAGCAGCAAAAAAAUUUGAUGAAAAGCAGCAAAACAACAAAGACAACAGUUGCAGCAGCUCCUGGGGACUCUUCCAGUAUGUUUCUAGCGAAGCCUAGUUUGUAUAACAAGGUGACGAAGAAAAGUAGUGUAGUUCCACUGGAAUCAAAGCCAUAUCUACGUAAAGGUUCAGGAUUUACCUCUAGUGUUGGUCUUGUUAACAAGCCCAAAAAUCCUUCUCAGUUAGAGGACUCUUUGAAAAACACUGAAAUUUCUAAUGAUCCUCAAGAGAGUGAUGUGAUUGUUAAUGCUUCUGUCUUGGUGAAUGAGCAUCAGGAUCAGGAUGUUUCAUCACAGGAUCAUUGUGAUGAUGCUAUUCAGUCAGAAACACAACUAAAUGGCCAUCAGAAAUGUGAUGUGAUUGGGAGCGUUGAUGAACUUGCUCCUGACUUUGAUGAUGGCUUAAAAAAUAUUCCCGGUUCUUUCCAACGUGACGAAGAAUCGGCCAUCUCACCAACUGCUUGAGUGGAAAUAGAAGAGCAUCAGGACCUGCCUAACCAAUGUGAUGAGAAAACAGGUGAAAUUAAAUCUUCAACCAGCAUUGCACCUGUUGGAUCGGCAAGUCCACGUGUCCGUCACUCUCUGUCACAGAUGCUGCAAGAAGAAAGUAGUGAGGGCGAUACUACUGAAUGGGGAAAUGCUGAAAAUCCGCCUGCAAUGGUCAAUCAGAAAGAUGCACCCAAGGGAUUGAAGAGACUGUUGAAGUUUGCUCGGAAGAGUAAAGGGGAUGCAAAUAUAACUGGUUGGUCUAGCCCAUCAGUCUUUUCUGAAGGAGAGGAUGAUGCAGAAGAAUCAAAAGUUAUUAAUAAGAGAAAUUCUGAUAAUCUACUGCGAAAGGCUGCCCUUCAUGCAAAGAAAUAUGAGCAACAAAAGACAUUGUUGACUGAUGGCUAUGAAAAUCAUUUGGAUUUUCAUGAGCUUCCAUCUGGUAUAUUUUCUCUUCGCCAUAAUCAUUACAUGCUUAUUUUCUGUCAAACUGUUUUCAGUGUUUCUCGUAUAGAUAGAAUCUAGAUGGUUAUAGGUCUAAAGCAUAGAAGUAAUUGCUUUUAUGCUUGUGGCACAUUAUUCCGUAGCUUAUCUGUUGUCUCUUCUUUGCUCAACUUUCUGGGAAAUACCAAAAUAAUUAUAAAUAUUUCCAUUCCCAGACUCUUUACGAGUCUCAUUAUCAGAGUACUGUGCAUUUUGUGUAUGCAGCUCAAUCAGGCAUUAGCACGGUUGAUGCCCACAAAUUGCACAAGGGCAGUGUCUCAGCUGCUGCCUCCACUACUAAAGCUCAAUUUCCAUCUUCCUUACUUUGUUGAAGUUUCCGUAGUUCCUUUCCCUUAUUUUCUGGAAUAAUUGUUUAUUUUCUUUUCAAUUUGGGACUGUAUGUUUUGUAGUUUGAAUUCCAAUCUUCUUUUGCCAAUUUUUUUUUUUCAGGAACAAGGUCAUUCUUCUCCCUUUCAGCAUUUAGGGGUAGUAAACCAAGUGAGACAAAGCUUCGCUAAGACUAGGAUCAUUUAUAAAAUUCGAGGUUAUUGACGUUUGCUCUCUCCCAGUCCUAGGCGAACUAAACUUUGUUGGAGCCAAAAUUUCCUCCGCCUUUCUCUUACCAUUUUUUGGGUGUUUCUUUUGCAUGUCAGCAAUCGUGGAUCUUCUCUAGGCUUGUCUUUUGUGUAGGUGGAGUGUUCAAUUAUACAGUACGUUGCAGUAUUAGGAUUUCCAUCCUGCUAAACAUAUUGUUAUAUGUGAACCACUAUGUUGAGGACAUAAAACAAUGAUGAAUUAAUUGAUUUUCCUUUUAUGAGCACACAUUAUAACAAAAUUCAAAAAUUUCAAGCCUUGCACUGUGGAGUCCACAGACAGCAAGCUCUCAUCUAGAUUCUUAUUUCACUACAUGGAAGCUUUGGAGCACUAGGGAUGUUAAGUGGGAACUGGCAAUUGUAUAGUAGGGAUGGUAAAACAAUUUAUAUCUUAAGAGUUUCAAUUUAUUUUAUCUGAUAAAAAAAAUUUUUUUUAAAUUCAAAAUCAAGUCAGAGGUAAAAUGAGUAUUUUUUUAAAAAUUGAAAUUCGUCAAAGACAAGUUUUAGAUAUUUAAUUUAUCUCAUUUCGAGAUAUAUUUAAAAUAUAUAUUUUAUUAUUUAUUUAUUUAUAUAUAUAUGUAUAUAUAUAAAUAAAAUUAUUAUUUUUACUUUAAUUUAAGAUGUUAAUUUAAAAAAAUAUUAUAUUUAUAAAUAACUAAAAUAUAAUUAAUAUUAACAAUAAUAUUUUAUGAAUAUUACAUUAAAUUAAAAUUAUUAAAAUAAUUUUAAGUCAGAUGCUAAUUAGAUAUAGAUUAUACAUAUAUAAGUUAGGUCAAAAUCAGAUAUAAAAUAAAAUAAUUCAAAUCAAAAUCGGAUUGGAAUAAAAAUGACAAAAACUCAUCUUGACCCGUUGUCACCCUUAUAUGUAGCUUUGGAUUCCCAUUUAUUGACACUUUCAGUUUCCUAUGUUUGAUAAAAGACUAAGCAGUUUGGUGGUUCACUUAAUUUUUCAGCAAUGAAUAUUGUUGUCCGGUUCAGCAGCUACUGAAUUCUUAGACAACUGGCAGAAAUGGAGGAUUUCCAGCUCAACACAUCCCUUAUUCCCGUUUAAGACCAUGUGUUCGCAUUUCAAUUGCUUUGAUAUUCAUAAAAGAAAGGGGCAAGCGUGUGUUUCAAACUUCAAAGUAUGGAGCUAAACAACUAAUUAUAGUUCAACGAUUUGUCGAUCUAAAUUCAGAGGUUUCUCCGUUAUUGCUUUAAACAACAAUGUUAAUGAUAGCGUAACAAUUAGGUUUUACAAAACUACGGACGGUUUCAUUGGUUGGACGGAUGCUGAAGCUGCUUUAGACUAAGGGUCAAUCAAAACUAUUCCACUAGAGAUCGCACCCAGGCUCUGCAUCGCUAUUCUCCGGUAAAAGACCUAGUUACUGUUCUCAGGUAAAAUAACCGGAGUUGUUAUCAAACAAAACGUUCAUCGAAUAAAUUCAUAAAUAUGCUUGAAUUUUAUUCAUUUAUAUUCUUUAUUAAACUUAAUAAAUAAUUACGAACACAUUUCAAUGUUCAUUAAUUAAACAAAUAAAUCAUGAAUAUAACAAAAUUUGUUCAUAUACGAGCAUUUACACCCAAAGUAUUAAAAAACAAAACAUCCACCAAAAAAUUUAUAAGCAGACUCGAUUUCUAUUUCUUUAUGUUCAAUUACUAAAUUUAACAAACAAUUAUAAACACUAUUCCAUGAUUCGUUAAUUAGAUGAACAAAUCACAAACAUACUAAAAUUCAUUUAUAUUCAAUUCGUUAAUACCCUUAAAAAAAAUUGCAAUCAAGCAUUAUGAUAAGCAACAUCGCAGGACUAAUAUGGAUCCUCCUCAAGGCUAAGGAUAACUAUAUAAGAAAAUUUAGAUACUGUGUUGCUAAAAUAGAUCUCGGGAGAUGUGAUGUGGGCAAUAAGGAAAGCACAAAUCCCCAGUCCCUUGUUAUUUCCAACAUGCUAACAUACAAUGCAAAGAAGUUUCCUGCUUAACUUUUGGAGCUGCAGCUUAUCUCUGGUUGCUGAUAAAGCUGCUGCAAAACAAGAAUAGUCUUGAUAUGCAUAACGAACACCCACCACCUUCUUUUUCCUCCUUCACCUUCAUUUCCUUGGCUUGAUAACAUUGUAAACAUCUUCACCUUUUCAGCUAGCUUAAAAGCACAAAGGUCUGACCCUUUGUCUCUAUUGAGCUGUUCAAUGAAAUUGUGAAUAUGAGAAUUAUCACAAAGAACUCUGAAAUAUGAUCUUAACUGAGCUUUGUAUCUGUUGCCAAAGAUACGGAAAUUCACAAGAUUUUGAAUUCAACAAGCAUUAAUAGCAAAGAAGCAGUUGAAGAUAUAGCAGUUAAAGCCAAGAAGCAACACAUCCACCCCUUGCAGCCAAAUAAACCAUAAUUAGAUUUGUUAAUACAACCGGCGAUGACUAUUAUUACUCAAUGACAAACAAGUGCAGUUCUAAUACUGUUUUUGGCAUAGAUAUCUCAACAGAGAAGUUAAUUAUGACAAUAUUCAUCAAACUUUUCAUAUAUUUGAGAGAUACCAACUACAAGAAUAGCUAAACCAUCAUAAAAGAUAAAUGCAAAAAAGAGAUCAAUUCCAGAGUGAAAAUGAAACCUUUCACCCCUGCAUCAAUAUCUAAGCUGAUCUCAAUUACUGCUCCCCUGAAAAAUAAGAGGAUCCAAAUGGCUGUUGCCCUGUCAUUUGACAAGUCAAGAAUAUUGCUGUCCUCCCAUCUGAGGGAAGCCUGAUGGUGGUUGUCCUGCCAUCCGAUGAGAACCUGAUGACUGCCAUCCAGCCAUCUCAGCAGGUCCUGAGGGUGGCCGUGGUGGUUGUCCAAAAGCUCGAGGUUGAGGCCUAGGGAAUCUCCACCUAUUUUCAUUUAAAACUCUAUCAAUCUCUUCAUUCCGCCCAACAUUCCCAAAAGCCCCACGCACAAACUCCUGCAAUGCAGGAGUAACACCAAUAGAAUACUUCAUCAUCUCGUCCAGUAUAUCUAGGCUUUUGUCCAGCUCAUCAGCAUCACAAAGUCCUCUGACUACAACAUCAUAAAGAGCGGCAUCUGGCUUAGGAUCUUUCUCCCCCAUUUUAGUCAAAAGUGAUGCGGCUUCCAUGUUCUUCCCAUUCUUGAGAAAUUCACUGAAAACCCUAGUUCCAAAACUGGCAACCACCACCAGUCUCAACCAUCUUUGUGAAUAACUGUAAAGCAUCAUCAACCCGCUCUGCUUUCAAGUAUGCAUCAAUCAUGGUUCUGUACAUUGGAACAUCUGGUGUCAACGACUUUCCACACAAUUCUUGAAAAAAUCUUUCCGCCUCAGAUAGCAUACCAUGCUCACAAAACCUGGUGACGAUAUUAUUAUAACCAGCAACAUCCAUCGCAAAAGGCUUGGAUCCAGGCUUCGUGCCUACCUUCUUAAAAGUUUUAAUGGCCUCCUCAAAAUUCCCCAACUUGAAACACUCAUUCACCAUGAUAUUAAAAGUAUCAGAAUUCGAAGCCUGCGUGUUAGGAGGGGUAUGAUUAUCCAGCAUAUCUUCGAACAAGGCCCAAGCUUCCUUCGUCUUCCCAUGUUUAAGCAAAACCUCCAAAAGUGUAUUACAAGUGGGAGGAGGCAUCUUAAAUUUCCUAUCCAACAACGACUUAUACGAGUCCAUGGCUUCCUUAUCCUUUCCCUGAUUAAACCACCAUUCCAUAAACGUAGCAUUGACAACUCCAUCGUAAACCAAUCAACGCUCUUUCAACUCAUCAAACAGCUCAUUGGCCUUGUUCAAAUUCCCCAAAUUCAAAAACCCGGAUAAAAGGUUGUUGAAAACUAAAGAGUCAGCACCGUGCCCUUUAUUCAACAUUUCCCUGAGCAUAUCCACGGCUUCCCCAAUCCUCCCAGCAUCGAUCAAGCCUUUGGUCAAGUGCCUAUAAGUCACAGGAGAGGGGUUAAACGGCGCCAUCUCCAAAAUCUCGUGGUAAACUUGGAUAGCAGUAUCAACUUCACCCCUAUCGCAAUGCGUAUUAAUCAAAUUGUUGUAAGAAACAACAUUUGGAACCAGAUCAGAUUGCUUAAAGAAGAAGUGAAAGAGAGCAAUUGCCUCGUUGAAGCGUUUGUUGCGGUACAUGGCGGCAAUGAUGGCGUUGCAAGUGAAGACAGUGGGGCGAGUGGAGGAGAACACGGAGGAACGAGCCAGGAGAGAGGCGGCGUCUAGGUCGGAGGCGCGGAUAAGGGACUGAACACGGUUGUGCAGGUUAAGCCGAUGCCCAACGAGGGCAGAGGUGCUGUCUGGAAGCCGCGGGGCAUUAGGGUCAUGAGUGGGAGGGGCAGACGGGGCUGAGGCACGGAGGGCGUGUAUUGGGGGCUCUAAACGCAAACGCCGCCGAACUGCCGUGGCUUCUUCUGCAGAAGUGAACCCGUAGGAGCAUGGGGGUGGGGGUGGGGACGGGGAAGGAGUCUGAGGAUUUUGGAUUGGAUUUUCGAAGGCAGGGUUAAGCGCAACAUUGUGACGUAAGCGAGAGAGGAGAAGAGUAGGGGUGGCUUUGGGACGCUGGUGGCGGUGAUUGAGGGAGCGAAAGAGGGAAAGGCGGAAUAGGGGCAUGGCUCAAGCGAGUAAGAGAACCCUAAAUGCUUCAACCCUACAUUACAGCAGCUUAAAGUAACCUUCGACUUUGGAGACUCUCUCUCGGGGAAUAUAUGAAACUAGCUGAUAGUCGCGAACGUUCUUGCUGCUCUAAAUUUUCUUUAAUUUUGUUAUUUUUAUUCAUUAAUUUUUUUAAUUUAUUUAAAUUAAAAUUAAAAAAUUAAAUAAAGAUGACACAUUGAUGUCUAAUUAGGUCCCUUAUUCUCACAAAAUACGUAAUAAAAAAUAAAAAUUUAAAACUAAAAAUUAUAAAAAUAAAAGAAAACUCAUAGAGGAUUUUACAUAAACAAUCUCAUUGAAUUUAAAAUAUUAAUUUUUAAUUUAAAAUAUCAAAUAAUAAUUUUAUUAAAAUAAUAAAUAUAUAUACCUUUAUAUAUUAGUUUUAGGUACGUACAUAAUGCAUGUGAAAUUAUUAUCUUUAAAACUUUAUUUCAAUAAAUAAUUUUUUAAUAAUAUGAUAAUAAUAAUUAUAAAUACUAAUAUAGGUAAAUUUUGAUAACCUUUUACAUAUUUUUAAAAAUAAUAAUAAAUAUUAAUAAUUUAAUUUGUUUUUUAUAUUAUAAGUAAAAUUUUAUAACUUUUAAUGUAAUUUUUGAUUUUCAUAACAUUUAAUAAAAUUUUGGUAACCUAUGAUACAAUUUUGAUAACAUUCGACAUUAAUUUGAUAACUUAUGAUAUAAUUUUGGUGAUCAUUAAUAUAAUUUUGAUAAUUGUUUAUAAAAUUUUAGUAACCUCUUAACGUAAUUGUAGUAAUUUUUGGUAACUUAUUAUAUAUUUUUAGUAAUUAUUGUUAAAAUUUAUAUCAUCAUAUAUUUAACAAUGAAUUCGCUGUAAAAAAAUGAUAUUUCAAUUCUAAUAUAAAAGUAAUUUUUUAUAUAAUAAUAUUAUUAUUUCAUUCAAAUUUAGAAUUUAUUCACUAAUUUUUUUUAUUGAAUAUGUUCAUAUUAGAUUAUCAUAGCUUCUUAGAUAAAAUUCAUAGCUUUAUUUUUGUUAUUAACCAAGUUUUAAUUUCUGACAACUUUAAGUAUAAAAAUUUAUUAAUAAUUAAAUUAUCAUUGAUUUAAUAUUUUUUUAUCAUUGAUUUACUACUAAGUCAUCAAUGAUGUACUAUUAAAUUAGCAUUGAAGUACUACUAAUUUAUAAAUAAUUUACUAUUAAGUUAUGAAUUAUUUACCAAUAAAUUAUUAAUGAUUUACUAUUAAAUUAUUGAUAAUUUAUUAUAAAGUUACAACUAAUUUUUUAUUAAUUUGUUAAUAAUUUACUACAAAAUUAUCAAUAAUUAACUAAUUUAUUACAAAUUAUCAUUGAUUUAUAAGUAAAUUAGCACUGAUUUACAACUAAGGUAUCACUGAUUUAAUAUUAUAUUAUUAUACAUUUACUACUAAGUUACUAUUGAUUUACUACUUUGUUUUUUAUUAUUUACUACAAAAUCAACACAGAUUUAUUACUAAAUUAAUAUCGUCAGUCAACUUGCUGAUUUGAUAUGAAUAUUUAAUAAAAUAUUGAUAUGUGUAAAACUUUCAGCUAAUACUACAUCAUAAAUUGCAUGUCAGCAUUAAAAGAAAUUUUCAAAAAAUUUUAAAAACUAAAAAAAUUAUGGAUUUAAAAAAAAUUGAAUUUAAAAAAAUUUAAAAAAUUAUGAAAAUGACAAAAAAAAUGAAACUUUUAAUAAAAAUAAAAUUGUCUUAAAGUUCUAAAAAAAUUCAAAAAUCUUUUUAAAAAAUCUAAAUCUAAUUUGUUUUGAAAAAAAAGUGAAAGUUAAAAAAUCUAAAACAUUUUGAAAAAAUCUGAAUUUUUUUAAAUUCUUAAAAUUACAAUAUUUCAAAAAAUCUAAAACAUUUUAAAAUUUAUAAAAAAAUUUAAAACGUUUUUGAAUAAUUAAAAGAAUAAGAAAAUUUUGAAAGUUUUACUAAAAAAUCUAAAAAUUCAAAUAAAAAUUGAAAAUUUUUAAAAAUAAAAACAAAGCAUUUUAUUUUUUUUCAAUUUUUCAUAAACUUGUAAUUUUUGUAAAUUUUUAAAGAUUUUUCAGAUUUUUUGAAAUUUUAUUAAUUUUUCUAAAUUUUAAAAAAGUAUUCUUAAAAUUUUUUAAAUUUUUAAUGUAAUUUAAUUUUUUUUAAUUUUCAGUAUUUUUAAUUUUUGUGAAUUUUUUUUGUUUUUAUUAUUAUAUUCAUUUUUAAUACUUGUGUUAAAUUUUUCAAAACUUUUUUUUUAUAUUCUUGGAUUUUGUAUUAAAUUUUGAAGAUUUUAGUUUUUUAUUUUUUAAGAUUUUUUAAAUUUUGUAGGAUUUUUCUUAUUAUUUUCAAAAAUUUUAAUUUUUCAUUACUCUUUUUUUUUUAUAAUUUAGUAAAAAUAUUUUAGAUUUUUAAAGAUUUUAAUUUAAAAAAAUUUAGAAUAUUUAUAAAAUUUUCAAAAUUUUUUUCAUUUUUCAAAACUUUUAAGUUUUUUUUUUUUACUUUUUGAAUUUUAAGAAUUUAUUUUAAAUUCCCAUUUUUUAAUUUUUUUUAAUUUUGAGUUUUUUUUAAUUUUAAAAUUUUUUUAUAAUUUUUAAAAUAUUUUGGUUUUCAUAAUUUUUUGAAAUAUUUAAUUUUUUUUAAUUUUAAAAAAAUUAGAAAAUUUUUCAAAAUUUUCUUUUAAUUGCUAAUGUGGCAUUGAUUGAAUGUUAAUGUUACAUCAAUAAAUUGAGUAAUGAUGUUAUUUUGAAAUAACAAACUACAUGACAAAAUAAAGGGUAAAAUAUUAAAUUAUAAUUUUAUUUUUUUAAGUAUUAAAUUGACAAAAAAUGUAUAAUACAAUAACCAAAUAUAUAUUUAUCCCAUCUCAAAGACUCAAUUAGAUUGUUAAAAACCCAAUAUCCAUCUAGUCCAAAAAUCUUCAAUCCAGUCCACAAUUCAAAAAAAAAAAAAAGUUGAGAAUUAAUUUCAUAAUUAAUUAAUUAAAUAAGAAGUUAAUUUCAUAUACCAAAUGGUGUAGUUUGUUAAUUUUAAUUAACUUUAAAUUAGGUGUAGGGUUAGUUAGGUCAUUUUAGUUUGUUUAUUGAGAAUUAGUUGGAACAUUUUAGUUUGUUUAUUGAGGGCAUAUUGUGAUCAUUUUCAUUUAAUUUUUGUACUAUUUUUUAAUGUUAAUUAUUAACAUAGCAUCUUAUUAUUUAAGUCUAGAAGGAAGCUUUAAAUUUCACUAAAGCACGAGUCUCUAACUAAUAUGAAUAUAAAAUUUAUAAUAAAAGGAAAUUUUAUUCUUUUUAUUAAUAUUUUUUAAAACAAUUGUAUGGACAAAAAGGAUAGUUAAUUACAGUCAUAUACAUGGCGACAAUAACACUAUUAUAUAAUUAAACAUAUCUAUGAAUGAACAUUAUAUACUAUUUAUAACAAAUUGUAUACCAUAUUACAUGAUAUAAUUUAAAUACCCUAGUUUAUAAGUGGCUAAGGACUUUAAAUUUUAUAUUUUGGUUUAAUUGAGAUACUCCUUCCGUCUCUUUUUUUUUUUUUUUGUUCUAUCUUUUUUUAAUAUCUCAAAAUUAUAUAUACAUAUAUAUAUUACAUUUACAACUCUUAUUUUUUAUAUUUUAAAAUUAUUUUUUAUGAUUUUUUUUAUUUUUUGAUAUUAAAAAUUAUAGAACUUUAAUUUUAUAUAAAAAAAUAAAAUUUAAUAUUAAAUACAUUAAAGUCACAAAUUUUUUCUUAAAUUUUAUGAAAAUCAUAGUACCCAAAUAAUAUGGGACGAAAGGAGUAUUAGUUAAACAUCAAAGUAUCGCAAUUUUAUAUCAAAUUUAUAUUUUGGUACAAGUAAUUAAAACAUUAAUACUUUAUGAGUAAUCCAAAUGUUAGUAAGUUUAUUAUAAUGCAUCAAUCUUAAUUUGUCUUAGGGUAAAAUUAGUAUUAUUAAGUUUUGUAUAUUAAUUUGAUUGAUUUUUUGAAUUAAAAAAGGGAUAAAUUCGUGAAUUAUCUCUAAGUUAUAGUAAAAUAUUUAAUAUUAUAUUUAAUGUUUAAAAGUCUUUAACAUAGUAUAUAAAUUAUAAAUAUGUUAAUUAAUAUGAUACUUUAAAAAAAUUUUAUAUGUCACGUAUCAUUAUUUGAAACUAGCUAUGUUAGAAAUAAAUACCAUAUUAAUUAACAUAUUUAUAAUGCAGAUAUCAUAUUAAACAUUUUGUUAUAAUUUAAGGAUAAUUUAUGAUAUUAAUUCUUAAAAAAAAAGAAAUCAUUUGAAAAUUAAAAUUAUGUCUCAUUUUUUUAAAAAUAAAUAAACUAAUUUAAUAGAAAAUAAAAACUUUGGUGAAAAUCAAUUCUAAAUAGCUAAACUAAAACCAUAGGUUAAUGGAGGAUAUUUAAUUUUAUAAACAAAUAUUGUUCAACCUUAAACAAAAAAUUAUAGUCCAACAUUUAAAAUUAGGAUAAAAUCACAAAUAUUUUGUAUUGAAUUAAUUAGAAUUUUAGCAAGCUACAAAGUAUUCAAAUUGAUUUUUAAAAUGAUUAAAAAAUAUGAAAAUGAAAUAAAAUGAUUUUUUAGUUUCAAAAGAGCUCAAUGAUAAAAAUAUUAUAAUUAGAUUAAUGGAGAUAAAAGAGAUAUGCAUAUAAUUUUAAAAAUUAAAAAUAUUAACAAAUUUUUACAAUAAUUUAAAAAUAUUUUUCUUAAUCUACGUUGGCUUUGAUAAAUUGCAUAAUUUUAAAUAUCAAUAUUUAAGUUUUUAUUUAAAUUCAAUAAAUUGCAUAUUUUAAUCAUUAUAUUAUGUGUUAAGACAAUUCAUAUAAAUAUUUAUGUCAGCACACAUUAUUCCAUAAUAUUUUAACUUACUAUAUUAUAUAUGUAAUAUUCUUUUAUAUAAUUAUAGAUGUAUAGUAUUAUGUUUUUAUUGUUUUUUUAUAUGAAGAAUGAUUUUUUUUUUUUACCAACCAGAAGAAUGACUUUUUAAUUGAUAAAAAAAGAAUGCCAUUUUAAUUUAGUGAGUAUUUUUAAUUUUAUUAUCUGUCUAAAAUGAAAUAUAUAUAUAUAUAUAUUCAAGGGUUUUUUUUUUAUAAAAAUACUAAUAAAUAUAAUUUGUUUUUUAUUAUUUUUAUAUCAUAAUAAAUCAAAGUUUUGUAAAAUUAAAAAUAGGCUAAAAUACUAAAUAAAAAUCCUUUGAACUAUUUAACAUUUCUUAAAUUAGCUCUUGUACUUUUAUCAUACUUAAAUAAAUUUUUAUCCUUUGAUUUAUAUCUAAAUAAGACUUUAUUUAAAAGGAAAGAUUGAUUUAUGGUUGGGACUUAAUUAGGUAAAAAUUAAAAGUUAAAAGUUAUUUAGAUACAAAUUAAAAGAUAAAUAUUUAUUUAGAUACAAAUUAAAGUUUAAUGAUUUAUUUAAAUACAAUAAAAAUAUAUGAGUUUAUUUAACUAAAAGAGUAAAAUUUAGGAUUUAUUUAUUAUGUUUGCUUAAAAAUUAAGAAAAUAAAAGAAAGGACUUUCUAAAUGUAUCACCAUUUUCACUUUUCACACUUCAAUUUUUUUAAAAUUUGUUUAUAAAUAAAAUUACUUAAUUAUCUUCUUAUAAUUUUGUCGAUAUCUAUAUUCAAUAAAUUUUAUAAAUUUUCAAAAAAUUAUAUAUAUACAAGGGGCAAUUUAGUGCCAUUUAGUGUUAACUCGUUAGUGACUAUUGGGUGCUUGGAUAAAGGUUCUAAAUUGGGUAAAAAAUGGAUGAAGUAUGCCAACAAUUCUUAAUUUAGGAUAGGUAUAUCUAUUUUGUAUGCUUGUUUCCUCACUAUCUUCUUUAUUUUUGUUGGAUGUUUGAUUGUUUAAUUGAUUUUCAGUUAUGAUAGAUUUGCUGUAUAUGUUUUACAGCUUAUGGCGUUGAUAUGUUGAAUACAAUUGGUUAUAUAUAUGCAAGACAAGCAGCAAAAGAGCUUGGGAAGAAAGCAAUAUACUUGGGUGUGCCAUUCAUUGCUGAGUGGUUUAGAAACAAAGGCCACUUUAUUAAAUCUCAAGUAACAGCAGCAACUGGUUAGUAAAUGCUGCUAACUUUAAUUGUUAGUACACAUAAUUAUGUUUUGUUGAUAACUCGUUUGAUUUUCUACUACUGUCAGAUUAAGUUUGGGUCUUUAUUCAAUCCUUAACAAGGAAAAAUCAAUUGUGUUGUUAAUGUUUCUUACAAAGAAAAUUUUUGCAGAAAGAAUUAUUGUGUUUCAUCUAUUUUUUUUUUCCCUUCAUGGCAUAGGUGCAAUUGCUUUGCUUCAGCUGCAGGAGGACAUGAAGAAGCAGCUUAAUGCUGAAGGAAACUACACUGAGAAGGAGCUUGAAGAGUACUUGCGAUCUCACAAGAAGCUGAUGAUUGAUUCAUUAUGGAAGCUUAAUGUAGCCGACAUAGAAGCUAUCCUUUCUUGUGUUUGUCAAAUGGUUGUUUCACUUGUUUCUUCUUUUAUGACUGUUAGAUGGCACUGGUUAGAUAUUUGUUAUAUGUUUCUUGUAUCUAUCAAACUAUUGUUUUAGGUUCUCCAAGAUAACAGCGUCAAGAAGCUUCAACGAAGAGAAAUCUGCUCCAAGCAACAUCGUGCUUUCUCCAUCACCGAUGCCCAGGAGCGCUUCCGCAACAUCUGCUUGCAGGUUCUUUCUUUAACCUAACCUUACUCCUUUAAUUAUUUUAUUAUUUCAUAAUUUUUCUUCCAUAUAUUUUGCUAAUUUUCUUUUCCUCUUGUUUUGGGUGUUCAAAUUGCACGAGAAUUCUGCUUUCUAAUAUACAGUUUCAGUUGAGGUAUCUACUCGGUCAUGCUUCCAAGUCCAAACCUUGUUUUCCUUUUUUCUUUUUUUUCCAGAUAUCAAUCUAAGGAAAUUUGAACAUUUUAACCCUAGUUGCAAAUUUGUGGGAGGGUACAAAGAAAGAUCUAGCGUUGCAUCAUUAGUGCUCAAAUUAGUUUGAUACAUAUUAUCUGUUUAAUAGUUUCUGUUCUAAUCAUAUUCACCGGCUUUGAUCUAUAAUAUACAACUAGAGUAUAUUGCCUACCCUUUCAAUGUUACCUUAUGAGAUAUCGCUGCAAACCUGAUCUACUUCAAUUGUUUUUUAAAUUUUGAUAUUUUUAGAUUUAUGGCUGUUUAAGUCUUUAAUAUGAUCUAUAAAAAAAAGGGGUCUUUAAUAUGAUUAAUGGUAAAAGACAAAAGCUUGAAACGGUGGAGUAUUUGUGUCAAAAGAUUCCUGAUGAUGAUUUCAAAACUUCCAUGAAUGAUGAAGCUUAUUUGAGAAUUUUGAGUAAGAAAUGUAGGGUCAAAUACGUAGGUUGAAAUCAAAACGUAGAUGCUUUAUUUGCAUUUGCUGGUAUUCAGACAAACAUGUUACAUUCCUGCUAUUUGAACCAGUUCACCUUUGGUUGAAUAGUUAUAUGUGUAUUAUUCUACAUUAAGUAGCAGGAUAGAAAAGGGUAUUUCUUUCCUUUUGUUUAGUUGGAAGUCUAUCAAGCAAAAGAUUAAUUUCAAAGGUCAAUGGUUUAUCUUUUAUUUGUGUAGCCAUGGGGACAAAUCUGUUUGCAUUGCUGUUCUUAUUGAGCUUUUUUAUUAAAUUCCUGUUGGUGAUAUGUUGCAAAACUAUAUAGGAGGAAUAUGAUACUCAUGAUCCAAAAGGGCAUUGUUCGAUGGUAUUACCAUUUCUGAGGAAGAGGUCAAAGAUUAUAGAGAUUGUAGCUGCACGAGACAUUGUCUUUGCUCUUGCCCAGUCUGGUGUAUGUGCGACAUUUAGCCGAGGUAGGAGCUGUGUUUCACACUUCUAAACUUAUUUUGCAUGGGCUUGCCUAUUUCUAUUUGCAUCAAUAAUUAGAAUGGGAAUUUUGAUAUUUUAUUGUUUUGGAUGCAGAGGCUAAUCAAAGAAUAUGCUUUCUAAACAUCACUGCUGAUGAAGUUAUAAGAAGCUUGUUUUAUAAUAAAAACAAUGACUCACUUAUCACAGUCUCAGUUUACGCUUCAGACAAUUUCAGCUCUUUGAAAUGCAGAAGCACAAGGAUUGAGUGUGUCAAUCUUUUUAACCUCUUUACAACACUUAUCUUAUCCAAUUUGAGCCGAAAGGAGAAAAAGGGAAAAAAUCUAAGAAAAAACAUGAAAUACUGCAUCUGGGCAUUGUAAUUUGUAAUUUGCAUUUGUUUUCUUCUGAAACAAUUCUGUUUGACGAACAGAUACAUACGGAGAGGUCAACCUGAUGCUGGUUUUGCCCUUUUUGAAUCCGAGUCACUGAAGUGGCCUGGUUUUGUGGAAUUUGAUGAUGUAAAUGGGAAGGUACUUUCAUAUUCUGCACAGGAUAGGUAAGUAAUCAUCCAUAUGACUGUGCUUUUGUGCUAAAAUAUAAUAAUUGGAUCCUCAACUAGAUUCAUGAGUUUUGACAUACUGUUUUUUGUCUUUUAAUCAGCAUAUACAAGGUGUUUGACCUAAAAAAUUAUACGAUGCUAUACUCAAUAUCGGAUAAAAAUGUUCAAGAGAUUAAGAUCAGGUAAUGCUCCUUUCAUGAUGGUUAUAUCUUCUUGCUACAAAAAUAAAGAUUAACUCAUUGAUAGAAAAAAUAAAAAGAAACCUUUCUGAUUUCUUUAUUCUUCUGUUAUAAGUAUUGUUUAGUCCAAACAAGCUUUCGCCUUCUCCUGGAAGCAAAAAUAAAGUACUGAGAGUAAAAAUCAAAUGAUGCCCAUAACUUGUUUGCUUUUGAUUUUGUCACUUAAAUUAAUUGACUUUGUUUCCAUCAUUUUUUUUUUGACAGUCCAGGGAUCAUGUUAUUGAUUUUCACUAAAGUUGGUGGCCAUGUUCCUCUUAAGAUUCUCUCAAUAGAGGAUGGUACUGUUCUGAAAUCUUUUAGCCAUCUUCUUCACCAGAAUAAGAAGGUGGAUUUCAUUGAACAGUUCAAUGAAAAGCUUCUUGUGAAGCAGGAAAAUGAAAAACCUCCAAAUUCUUGAUGUAAGUAUCAUUGUCAAUUUAUUGCAAUCUCAUGCAUUUUUAAAAGCUAAAAAAUCAAAACUGUCAUUGUGCAGGUCCGCAAUUCUGAGCUAACAGAAGUUAGCAAAUGAAUUUAUGACCCGUCGGCAUUCAUAUUUCUGUAUGAGAACCAGUUAUUCCUUACAUUUAGAAAUCGCAACGGUGGCUGUCUGGAACGUCGUGGAGAACUUGUAAACUUCAUUUGAGGAUCACCUUUUGUGGCAUCCUGAUUGCAACACUAAUAAUAUAUACAUCACAAGUGAUCAAGAUCUUAUUAUCUCUUACUGCAAGGCUGAUUCUGAUGAUCCAUUGUCUGAAGGAAAUGGUUUGUUUUUUUCUUUCUUUAAAACUUAUUCCAUCUUACAUUUUCUUAGAAUCUCUAGCUGCUCUUCCUCCUAUAGAUAACUGUAUCUCUCCUUUAAAUAGUAUUUUGGCUAUAGCCUUUCUGUCCAUUUGAAUUUUGAUCUGAGUUCAGAUUUAGCUUGUUAUUUUGAUAAACUGUUUCCAUAAAGGUUAUAGAAAUAAAAAGUAGAAACCACCAGUUGCAAAAGAAUACUAUCCAGUAAACAUUAAAUUUAAUACAUCAUUGAAGGGUUUUUUGUAUCAUCAAUUUUGCAUUACAUUGUAAAGGGCUCUAUAAUAUUGCUUGGGUAUCUUAAUGAUUUCUUUUUUUAAAAAAUGAUUUAAAAAGGCUUGUUGAGUUGUUCUAUGUUUAUUGUUUGUUGGCUUUUUGGCAAAUUAUGUGUUUUUAUGGGUUUUUUGGGCUUGGCUAGCUUUUUCAAUUGGAAUGUGGAAAAUUUUCAUCAUUUCCUUGGUCGUUUUGAAGGGAAAUGUACAUGUUCAAAUUUACUGUAUAACAACUAAAGCGAGGAGAGAAAGGGAAAUGGGGAGUUGGGGGAGGGGGAGGGGGGAACAGGGAGGAUGUGAUGGUAUGCUUUUGUAGAGACAUGGAAAGUGUGGAAAAGAUCUCAUCUGGAUUUGUUUCACCGAUAUAUGUGCAUCUAAUGAAUUUUUUACGUCCCUGGUGUGGCAGGAUCCAUUAAUAUCAGCAAUAUAUUGACUGGGAAAUGUCUUGCUAAAAUAAGAGCAAGCAACAGUUUCCCUGUGGAAAAACAAUGCAGCUGCAGUGUCAAGUGUGGUUGCAGAUCAAAGAAGCAGAGCACUGCAUCCAGGAUUAGAAGCACGGUUGCAGAAGCACUGGAAGACAUCACUGCUCUUUUUUAUGAUGAAGAGCGCAAUGAGAUUUAUACAGGUAAUAGGCAUGGUCUAGUUCAUGUGUGGUCUAACUGAUGGUUUGAUUUUCAUUAGAAUUUAUGUAAUUUUAGUUGCUGGAGGUUGAGUUGGUUGUGAAUGGGCAUUAUGAGACUCAUGACACGAAACUGUACCAUUAUUAAGUGUUAAUUGUAUCAAUUCAUUUAGUUUAUGUUUUAAAUUCAGUCAUUUUCUUGCUUUGAUUUUUGGUGCUGUGUGGGAGUGUGUAAAUUGUUGGUUUAUGUAUGAAUUAUGAUUUUAUGAUGUUGAUGGAGAUGCAUUUUAUUUGGGGUAAUAUGCUAAAUCACUAAAGGGAGGGAUGGAGUGAAGCAUUUGCUGGGCUCUAUGCCCCGUCUUCGACUAUGAAUGGAUGAAUGUAAUGAAGGCAUGUCUUUUGAAUCCCCUAAACUUGAAUGAUGAGCAAAGCAAAGCAAGCGUGGAAUAGAAGAAGAGCAGCAGAAAGGGAGAAGGGGGUCUGUAACAUUUUGGUAUGCAUUGCUAUUGCUUGUUUGUUUGUUUGUGUUAGAUGAGAUGAGGAGGACAUAGAUAUUGCUUAGUAUUAGUAGGAGGAGGAAAGAUGAAGAAUCAGAUAUUCCGUGGCGUGUGGGGGUUGAGAGUUAUAAUGUGUUGGAUGGAAAUGGAAGUUGCAAGUUGCAAGUUGCAAGGGACACAGGGAAAGAGAACGUGCGAAUGUGCUUUACGAAUGGCCAGUCAAGCCAAGACAACAAUGUUGUUCAAGGUGGAUUUAUAAUUCGUGGGUUUACAACCAGUAAAACAUUAAAAUUUUAUAUAUUUAUCGUUUUUUAUAUAAAAAUUAUAUAUUAUAAUAUAUUUUGAUAUAAAAAAUAUAAAUUAAAUUAUUUUUUAUCGUACUAUAUUAUAAACUAUAAAAAAAUAAUAAUAAAAGAUCAUUAAUUAAUUAUUAUGGUCACGUGGGUUCUUCGCGUGCUUUGCACUUUUCUAUUUUUCAUCAGCUCCUAUCUAUUUUUAUUUACUAUUUACUAUUUACUAUUUAUAUUUUAUAUAGCUAGACGUUCAAAUUGUUUGGUUGUUGCAUAUAAAAAAUUUCAAAAUUUUGAGCACUUUUUUCAGAUUUAAAUUGUAUUUGAAAUGUGAAAAAGCAAAGAAAAAUGAGGUACUCCAUAGCAGAUGGGAAAAAAAAUACACAAAAAUGAAAUAAAGAAAAAGGAUGUAGAAGCAAAUUGAUUUAAAAAAAAAAAAAAAAGAUUUGAGUUGGAAGUAAUGGAGCGUGAGAUGACGCGAGUGGCUUUGGCGACAACAGCUUGGUAAUGAUGAAGUAAUUAUUAUUACUAGGGUAGAUGAAGAAACGCGCCUACUGCCUUUGCCUGUAAUCUCCACUCUACAACACACGGGACACUGCCGACUGGACUGCUCUUCUUCCUUUUAUUUCAUCUCCACGCUAUCUUUUACUCUGCCCGUUUUUGUUUGCAAGUAAUUCAACUUUUAUGUACUACAUCUAUUACAAUUAGCAUUAUUGGAUCCCAAUUUACAAGUAAUAAUAAUCGUAACUAACAUUAUUAUUACUAUUUCUUUACCAUAAAAACACAAUAAAAUAUAAACUAAAGUUAGAUUCAGUUGACUUAAAAUUUUUAUUAAUAUUUAAAAAUUAUAAAUUCAAAUAAAUUUAUAUCUAUGCCUAACAUUCUUUUAUUAUAAAAUUAGAUCAGGGGUAGAUUAGAAAAUUAAAAAAAAAAAAAAAAAAACUUAUUUCCAGUUAGUAUUUCACCAGGUUCUUAUCGUUUUAUUUACAUUUUUUCAUUCUGCUCAGUUUGUUGUUGGAAAUUCCCACUUUCCAUUCACCCCUUGUACUUUCUCAGAUUCCUAUAUAUUGUUGGUUCAACGGAUUUGUUGGAUACCGCUAAAGUUAUUGAAGGUGAGAUGUCUCAGUUGGAGGAAGCCAGAAAGUUUCAUCUUUCUCUAUAUGCUCAGGUAAAUAUCAUGUCUCCUAAUUGUCUGGAUAUUUAAUUAUGCAUGAGCUCUCCUCACUAACAAGAGUUUCAUCUUCUCAGGGUCAUCAAGAUCAUAUUUAAAGUAGCGAAAAAGGUAAAUCUCAUGUUCAAUGCAAUUUAAAGUCGGACACUGUUCAUUACAUUGAUAUAUUCUCUGUUUAGUAUUGUUUUGAUUAAGGUUUCUUCUUUUUCAAAUGAUUGAGGACAUAAGUGGUGUCUCUUUUCUGUCUUGCCAAUCUCCUUAAUUCUGUGGUGCACUUGCGCCCUUGGUAUCUAAAAGCCUCGAGAGUUUUAAUUGUUCUCUUUCCUUGUUGAACAGAUAUAUGCAACUCAAUAGACAUGGUCCCAACAUCCAAAGUAAAUGCCAUUCUUUACAACUUUUUUUGUCAAUUUUUCCUCUAGGUCCGUUAGAAGUUGAUCUUAUGAUUCUACAUAAUACUUCACCAUACUUUUAUUGUGGCCACUAAUAUAUGCAUUUGACCUCGGCAGUUCGAAGUCCAGAAUUCAUCAUCAGAAACUUCAAAGUAUGUUCACUCCAUUAAUAUUAAUAUUAAUAUAAUAUAUAUUUAGUUUGUUAGUCUGUUUUAGUUCUCCUGCAAAUCCAACCAACCUUUGGAAAGUGCAUUGCUAGGAAUGAGCUCUUACGUGCUAUGGAAUCAAGACUUAUAGCGUUAAGAAGUGAGUUAGUUGCAGCUUUUAACCAGGCGGUUGGAGAAACCUGCUCCUACAAAGAAAUCUCUCAUCUGGCAAAUUUUUCUGAAAACUUUGGGGCAAAUGAUGUAAAGUAAGUUGCCUUCCAAAAAAAAAGUGCAUGGAUCUUUUAAAUCAUAAUUUGCCCAAAGAAUUUGUAACUGCAAUCUUCUUUUACAUCCCAAAAUUUUUACAACACUUGAUGAAAUGAUUUAUAAGCAACAAAUAAUCUUGUUAAUAUCUACUGCAGGAAUUUUUUGUGCAUGUUUCUAGAGCCGAGCCAAAAGCACCAAAUUGCAGAUCCCCCAGAUGAUAAAAUGUCUUCAUCUGCUCGUGCUUCAGUUAAUGGCAGCAUAAACAAGACUGAUGGAAGUAAACAAAUAUCAAAGCUAGUAAGUUCAGAAGCACCGGUUAAAUACGGUGUUUCACUAGCAAAAGUUGCCCAGGUUGAGCGUCAGACCUCAACAGAAAGUGAGGAAUCUUCUGACUCAUGUGACGAGAAUCAAAUGUCUGCAGAAAGAAGUCGAACUCUUAUAAGAUCUGCAACGCCUAGACGGUCAGCAUCUCCUAUGCGAAGGGUUCAAAUAGGG